Molecule: ribosomal RNA, 350 nt
Filed under: uncultured bacterium
Lineage: Bacteria
Description: partial 16S ribosomal RNA
Rfam family: Bacterial small subunit ribosomal RNA
Source: RNAcentral
CCUACGGGAGGCAGCAGUGAGGAAUAUUGGUCAAUGGGCGCAAGCCUGAACCAGCCAAGUCGCGUGAGGGAAGACGGUCCUAUGGAUUGUAAACCUCUUUUGUCGGGGAGCAAAAGACGCCACGUGUGGCGUUCCGAGAGUACCCGAAGAAAAAGCAUCGGCUAACUCCGUGCCAGCAGCCGCGGUAAUACGGAGGAUGCGAGCGUUAUCCGGAUUUAUUGGGUUUAAAGGGUGCGCAGGCGGAAGAUAAAGUCAGCGGUAAAAUUGAGAGGCUAAACCGCGCGGAGCCGUUGAAACUGGUUUUCUGGAGUGAGUGAGAGGUAUGCGGAAUGGUUGGUGUAGCGGUGAAA